This 1344-nucleotide ribosomal RNA is filed under the name Triticum aestivum (bread wheat). Its description in RNAcentral is "partial small subunit ribosomal RNA". Lineage: Eukaryota; Viridiplantae; Streptophyta; Magnoliopsida; Poales; Poaceae. The record is from RNAcentral.
AUGAAGCCGCCUUUGGAAAGGAACCCAUCCAGGAAGCGCCAUUCAUGGUGGUGGGAUAGUCACAUUAGCCCCAAGAACUCAAAAUGGCUUGCAGAAAACCUCGAAGAAAUGGAUAAGCAAGUGAAGGAAAUGGUGCAGCUUAUUGAGGAAGAUGGCGACUCCUUUGCAAAGAAAGCUCAAAUGUAUUAUCAGAGGCGCCCAGUGCUCGUCACCCAUGUUGAGAACUUCUACCGGAUGUACCGCGCUUUAGCUGAGCGCUACGACAAUGUUACCGGUGAACUGCGCAAGAACAUCCCUUCAAGGAUGCAGUCCCAAGGAUCGUUAUCCGGCUCUGAGUUCGGUUCAGAGCUGCAAAGGUCGCCCACACCAUCUCCUGAGCCACAGAAGUCCUGGACAAGGGAGCAGAGCCCUAGAGCCGCCGGUUUCGAUUUCUUUCUGAGUAACAAGAGCAAUGACUCACCAUCCUCAAGGAAGGAGCCUGAGUCAGCUUCACAGUCAGAAUCCGACAUGAAGUCUGAGGAUGGCGACGAUGAUGGCAUUGCCUACACAUUGCACCAGAGAGUUCUCGAGCUCGAGGACGAUCUCAACGCCGCGAACCGGAAGCUGCUUGAUGCAAACGAAAAGCUCGAGGUUUUCGAGGAGAAGAGCCUGAGGUGCCAUUGCGAUUAUAUGGAAAAUGGAAAUGGCUCCGAUCAUGCUCCCAAAAUUACAGACAUCAAUGGAGAGUUCGCGUCAACUAAGGAGAGGCUACAAUCUUCACAAGUGGAGAUCAACACUCUCGAAAGGAGGCUCGAGGACGCCGCAAUUUUAUCAGAAGAGCACUCUAGGCUGCUGGAACAAAACAAGGGACUGGAAGCUGAAAUCGUCAGUCUGAAGGAAGAAAUGGCUUCAGCGAGACGGCGUUUCGACGACAAACUAUCCGAGAGCGACGCCGAGAUCAGCAAGUACAGGCAAGAGCUUGCUGCUGCAUCUCAGAAGCUGCUGCAGGAGAAGUCCACCAACAGUGCAGAGGUGGGUAAGCUGCAAGAGACUAUCCGGAUCAGCAGUCGCGAGCUGGAAAAAGUUUCUGAAGAGAAAUCUCUGGUGGAGCAGCAGGUGAAGGAGCUGGAGGAGGCGAACGCCGAAGCCGAAAGGCAGAGGCAGGAGCUCGUCCAUGCCGCCGAAAUGCUGUCGGAGGACAAGUUCAGACACGAAGCUGAGAUCCUGACGAUGCAGCAGAGCAUCGAGGACCUGAAGCCGAAACUCGAGAGCAUCGCAAGAGAGAAAACGCUGCUGAAACUCUGGUUCGCGGAUCUGGAGCGUGUCGUGGAGCGAGGAAGGAGCGUCGUCAUUCCCCCGGAAUAA